This 216-nucleotide ribosomal RNA is filed under the name Glomeromycotina sp. RNAcentral describes it as "partial small subunit ribosomal RNA". The stretch from base 40 to 216 matches the Rfam family "Eukaryotic small subunit ribosomal RNA", at positions 686 to 864 of the family's 1831-position model. Lineage: Eukaryota; Fungi; Glomeromycota. The record is from RNAcentral.
GGGUCAGUAGGUUGGUCGUGCCACCGGUACGUACUGGUCUCAAUGAUUCCUCCUUCCUGAAGAACCGUAAUGACAUUAAUUUGGUGUUGCGGGGAAACAGGACUGUUACUUUGAAAAAAUUAGAGUGUUUAAAGCAAGCUAACGCUUGAAUACAUUAGCAUGGAAUAAUGAAAUAGGACGAUCGAUCCUAUUUUGUUGGUUUCUAGGAUUGACGUA